RNAcentral lists this small nuclear RNA (155 nucleotides) under Ophiophagus hannah (king cobra). RNAcentral's name for it is "U2 spliceosomal RNA". It matches the Rfam family "U2 spliceosomal RNA". Rfam says of the family: U2 is a small nuclear RNA (snRNA) component of the spliceosome (involved in pre-mRNA splicing). Complementary binding between U2 snRNA (in an area lying towards the 5' end but 3' to hairpin I) and the branchpoint sequence (BPS) of the intron results the bulging out of an unpaired adenosine, on the BPS, which initiates a nucleophilic attack at the intronic 5' splice site, thus starting the first of two transesterification reactions that mediate splicing. Lineage: Eukaryota; Metazoa; Chordata; Lepidosauria; Squamata; Elapidae. The record is from Rfam by way of RNAcentral.
AUUGCUUCUUGGUCUUUUGGCUAAGAUCAAGUGUAGUGUAAAUAUUAGCUCUACUUUAUACUAAGGUUACAUUAACAGAACCUUGCAGUUUGACAGCACAAUUGUCCCUAUUGCCCUUAUAUCCCAAGACACUAUGGGAUGGGGAGUGUCUCUUC